GAGAGCGGUAUGCGUUGAAAGGCGCCCGUACCGUUCGGGAAGGGGCCGUCGGAAAAGGACCCCAGCCAGGGGCACCUCGUCGGCGGCCUACUUCAC
Streptomyces sp. CB01580 is the source of this 96-nucleotide non-coding RNA. The record is from Rfam. NCBI's taxonomy places the organism in Bacteria, Bacillati, Actinomycetota, Actinomycetes, Kitasatosporales, Streptomycetaceae.